Small nuclear RNA from Suncus etruscus (white-toothed pygmy shrew), 104 nucleotides. The record is from RefSeq and is a predicted model, not a curated record. NCBI's taxonomy places the organism in Eukaryota, Metazoa, Chordata, Mammalia, Eulipotyphla, Soricidae.
GUGCUCGCUUCAGCAACACAUAUACUGAAAUUAGUAUGGUAUAGAGAUUAGCAUGGCCCCUGUGCAAGGAUGUCAUGAAAAUAUGUGAAGCAUUUUGUAUUUUU